CACGAACCGGACAAAUGUUGUCCGGAUUUAUUGGGUUUAAAGGGUGCGUAGGCGGAUGAUUAAGUCAGUGGUGAAAGCCCACAGCUCAACUGUGGAACUGCCAUUGAUACUGGUUAUCUUGAGUAUAGUUGAGGCAGGCGGAAUUUACGAUGUAGCGGUGAAAUGCAUAGAUAUCGUAAAGAACACCUAUAGCGAAGGCAGCUUGCUAAACUAUAACUGACGCUGAGGCACGAAAGCAUGGGUAGCGAACAGG
RNAcentral lists this unclassified non-coding RNA (253 nucleotides) under uncultured Cytophagales bacterium. Its description in RNAcentral is "contains 16S-23S intergenic spacer region". It matches the Rfam family "Bacterial small subunit ribosomal RNA", at positions 524 to 776 of the family's 1533-position model. The record is from RNAcentral. Lineage: Bacteria; Pseudomonadati; Bacteroidota; Sphingobacteriia; Sphingobacteriales.